This 678-nucleotide long non-coding RNA is filed under the name Rattus norvegicus (Norway rat). RNAcentral describes it as "long non-coding RNA NONRATT014070". The record is from RNAcentral. Lineage: Eukaryota; Metazoa; Chordata; Mammalia; Rodentia; Muridae.
UUUUUUUUUUUGUUAGUUUGUUUGUUUUGUUUUUUUGUUUUGCCAAGCUGGAAAAAGCCAGGGCCAAGCUGUCUGGGUUCCCCACUGAGGAACCGCCCUCCUCGAUGCUUGCCCAAGAGGCUGAGGAGCCCCCUCUCCCUGCCAGCCAGCCAGCCCAGCCCACCAGCAGCCAGGCCUGGGCUCCUCUCCUUCCCACGCGCCUGGAUUCCAAGGCCUGUCCUGCUGGCCCCGGGGGCCCAGGUCAGAGAACAGGCGCCAUCCGGUGCUGUGCCGGAAUCGCACUUUACCUGGCUCUUCCGAGGCACCGAAGCUGCCGAGCCAAGCUCUCUGCCUGCAUGGAGGCGGCUGGGACCUUGAUACCUUGACUCCAAAGGCGGUCAGUCUCACUCAUGGGUAGGCUCCUUCCACCGGCUACCUAAUAAAAGUGAGUCACAUCUGGGACCCACCACUUCCUGCUCGGCAGGGGCGGUAGGGUAGCGGCAGAGGGCUAGCGAGCUAAGGCUGGGCCCUCAGCUCUGCUCAGUUCUUGCUGUGGUGGGGGUGUGAGGAGGGCCCCUCUCCCAGUCGGGCGAGCCAGCCACAGUCGUGGGGGAGCUACCAGGCCAAGUUCCCAGCUCCAAUGACUUCAUGGAAAUUUGAAGCUUGAAGCUGGAACAAUUUAAAAAAAAAAAGAUAAAA